CCAACCGAUUAACGUGUUUCCCUCUUCCCACAUUUACUCUUUUUUUCUCUUUCUCUUUCUUUCCAUCUUUCUUACACACACAUGUACAUACACAUUCUGUAUCUAAUGUUUGAUGCGACUAUUUAGACUUUGACUAUUCCAAGACUUUCUUUCCAUCAAUUUCGGUGAAGAAUUUUCUUACAUAGAUAGAUACAUAUAGUCAUAUUGAAGAACUUCCUUCUCACAGGAUAUGGGAUGACCGCAGUUAUUAGUGUAGCACAGUAGAGCUUAAAGGUAGAAAAAUGGCUCUUGCUGGGAUUAAUAAUGUUUCGGUUCUUGAAGCUCCUUAUCUUGGGGAAAAUUAUUCUUCUGUAUCACUAACCCGGACAUCUAUUAUCCGGAAAAUGUGGCGGGAUCUCGAAAGUGAAAACAGAACCAGGGAGACUCAAAGACAACAAACUGGUGGGAUGGCAGAUGGUAAUACAGGAAGUCAAUGCUCAUGUUCGUCAGAAGGUGCUGAAAGUGAAGAUGUGUCAGUAACUACCAGUGAAGCCGAAAAUGAGCGUCCCAGGGACCAGAACCAGAUGGAAAUUCAGAGUGGACAAGAGAAUAAUGUGAACUUGUGCAUACAGCGUUCUGCAAUUGGUGUAGCUGACAAAGAGCGUGUGAGGCAAGUUUUUCGUGAGUGGGCAAGUAAAAAUGGUAGUGGGACUGCGGCAUGGAAUGUUUCACAUAAGACCAACAUUUCUAGGGAUCAAUCGCCUUGUGAAACUGAAUGCAAGAAGGUGAGGGCAGUUAGGCAAUGGAUAGAGUCAAACCCUCAGCAAGAAACUGGCCGCCCUGUCAUUGAUGAACAAGCUCCAGAAACUGGUUGUCAGGUCGAACAAGUAUGUGGUGGAUCAGGUGUCGAUCAUACUCGGGGUGGUGUACGAAGGCCCGUCCGAGGCAGACAGGCAUUUCUUGACUUACUAGCCAGGUUUGAGACGGAAAGGGCAAAAGAAAUGCAGAUUUUGUUGGAAAGUCAGUUGGUAUCAAAAUUUUCUCAUCGGAACCGUAUACAGGCAUUGUUUAGAGGUAGGUUUCUGCGGAACCAAAGCUUUGUACAAGAUGAAAAGCCAAGUUCUACUGCAACAAAAGAGUUGGGGCUAUUGAGGCAAAGUAACACUGUAUCUGAUCUAAGGAAAGGGUUUCUGUCUGGAUCAGAUGACGAUGAACAAACUCUUGAUGGGCCUCAGUCUGAUACCUCAUCUGACAUUGACAUUAAAGAUCAUCGAGAAAACUUUCAGCAGUUACUAGGUGAUAUUGGUAGUGGAUUUCAGACCACUAGUACCGAAAGUAACGCUAAAACACGUCGAAGUCCCGGUGUAUUUUAUGCUUCUAUACAAAAAAGUCAUGAACGAGUUUUGGUAAACGAGGUACGGCAACAAUCACCAACCCAGGAUUUUGAAAACAGGGAUCCGGGUCAAGACCAGGACAGCUAUUUGGAAAUUAAUCAUGGUGAUCAUCCAGUCGAGACGUCUCAACGAGCUUUGAAGCUUGAAAACCCAACGCAAGCUCAGUUUCAGCCUAAACGAUGUAGAAGUCCCAGAGAAUAUGAGAUUCUUGUAGAAGAAAGGCAUGAAAGAGGUUUGGAAAAUGGGUUAGAGAAACAAUCACCACCAACAGAGAUUAUUGAAAACAAGGACCAGGACCGGGAUCAGAAUGGUUUAGUGGAAUGUAACCAUAGGGCUCCUCAUAUCGAACCUUCUGAACAAAUCUUGGAGCUUGAAAGCGCAGCACAAUGGCAGUAUCAGCUCACUGCGGAGGAACUACAAGUUGAUGAGGCAUUUGACCAUUUGAAUAAUUCAGAAACCAGUAGAGGGAUUUUGGCCUGUCAAGAUGUUCCUGUUGAAACAGAGAGACAUGAACAAAUUAUAAAAGAAAAUGAUAGUGAAUGGGACGAUUUGACCAAUACCAAGGUAAACAAGGGUUCGUCUGCAAAGUUAACAGAAAAUGAAGUUGAAUCUGUUGAAGAAAGGCAUGGAGUUUUGGAAAACGAGGUACAACCACCACCACCACCACCACCUGUUGAAGUUACUGAAAACAGGGACCAGGACCAGGAUGGCUCAGUGGAAAGAAGCCAUGGUGCUUAUUAUAUCGAACCAUCUCAACGAACUUUGGCGAUUGAAAUCCCAGCACGUGGUCAGUAUCUGUUAAGCAUGCAGGAACUAGAAGUUAACGAGUCACUUGACCAUCGUUCAUUAACCAGUUCAGAAACCUCAUCUUUGCGAGAAGGUUCUGUAGAAACAGAAGUGUGGCAGGAGCCAACUAUAGAAGAAAAUGGUAGUGAAUGGGAUCAGUUGACAAAUACUGAGAUAUUUGAGAGUUCGGAUGCAAAUUCAGUUAGAAAUGAAGAUGAAUGGUACCAAGAAGCAGCAGGUAAUGAUUUUCAAGAAUCACUUGAGAAUUGGUGUGGUGUAGGAACUUCUUAUCAGGAAUCUCCUUUGGUGGUUACAACAAGCGUAUUCUAUACCUCUGGUGAUGAUAACGGAAACAGGCCAGAGCUUCGAGAACUUAUGAACAGGAGAAGGGUAUCUAAUCUUCUUCAAAGUGAUUUCCGUGUGAGAUUGGAUCAAGUGGUACAAUCCUAUGCGGAACGCCGAGAUCAGGCCUUAGAAUCUAAUGAUGACUGGAUGCUUGAUCAGGAGCAGCAACAUCUUGAUCAGCAGAGUGUAGAUGAAAAUGAGGAUGUUACCGAGACAGUUGAAUUAUCAGAAGUUGCUUACCCUGACAUUCAUCAGCAUUCUGGAGUUGAAUGGGAUAUCAUCAAUGGGCUACGUUUUGAUAUGGCUAAGCUUCAAGAACGUAUGAAUAGUAUGCAGAGUACUCUGGAGACGUGCAUCAGCAUGCAACUUGAGUUGCAACGAUCAAUGCAACAAGAGGUUUCAUCAGCUUUAAGUCGUUUGUCCACUUCUGGCGAGAGUAGUUUACAAACUUGCUCCCUUUGUUGUGACAACAAUAUUAAAGAUGACUCUUCACCCGAUAGGUCUGGACAUGUGUACGUAUGCUCAAACUGUGCUGAGAAAGUAAACUGGUCAAAGUUAAAAGAAAGUGUUAGGCACCCGUAAGCUGAGGUGAACACAUACAGUUAUUAUACAAAUUUAACACCAUAAAAUGGAAACUUAGCACCUGGAAUAACGAGGCAGAGAAUUUCCGAUGAGAUGCCCAUGCUUGGCCAUAUUGUGUUGUUGAAUGACACACCGCUUAGUUUUGAGAUAAUGUCAUGAUGAUACGUCACCAAGAUAAUGUUGCCAAGUCUUGAAGCUUCUAUUACAGUCCCUAUUAGUCAAACGUUCAUGAUAUUCUUUAAACAUUGACUUGUAAUUCAUACAUCAAUAGCUCUUUUACUACAUGAAAUAUGAUACCCAGCUCUAGUUGCAACA
RNA transcript from Erigeron canadensis, 3401 nucleotides. RefSeq lists it as uncharacterized. Lineage: Eukaryota; Viridiplantae; Streptophyta; Magnoliopsida; Asterales; Asteraceae. The transcript is spliced from 9 exons. The record is from RefSeq and is a predicted model, not a curated record.